UUUAAAGGGACCAGUGCAAACAACAUCCAUUUUCAGCUCUACCUGCUGGAGGGGCUGACGAGGUGGAACGCAGACCGCAGCCGCGCGACCGUCCAGAGAGGUAGCCGAGGCCCACACCUCUGCUACAGCCCCCGGGAAAUGGAGCACGCCAACCAGCUCUCGGUGGAGCUAUUUGGGCAGCGUAUGUUGGACGCACACUCGGAUCCCUCGCGUCCGUACACAGGAGAGCUGAUUGGAGUGGCCUAUCUUUUCGCCCAGACUGGCCAGGUCCUGGAGGACAUCCCAGAAGACACGGAGGGACCUCAGGAUGAGCAGCAGGUGGAUGUGAUUGAGGAGGAAGGGCAGGACGUUGACGAGGGCUUUCAGGAUCUGAUGUUUUACCUGGAAGGCCUCCUGCAAAAUCCAAUUCUACAGUCGCCGGCGUCUAUGGCUCAGUCACAAACGGAGGAGGUGGGUAACAAUAAAUCCUUUAUCGGUGCCUCCAUCUGAUCAACGGGACUGAGGACGGUCUUCUCUUCUACAGGUUUAAGUGGGCGAUGAUGGCACUCCCGGCUACCAGCAUGUUGUCGGACUGGCUGAACGUCUGGUCCAGCUGCGCUUGCUCAACUGUGUUUCUCAGAGGCAGGCGGAGGAGAUAGUGCAGUUGUGGCAGAGGCUGCCUGAGCGGGACAAAGCACCACUCGUUUUUCCACCCAGGUUCAGGGACCAGUUGACGCAUGGUCGGUUUAAAAAACCAAAGUCCUCCCGUGCGCCGACAGAUUCACGGGCUGGGGUGGAGAGCUUGAGGAGGUGAGUGACACUAAACACACAGACACGUGUUUCUGCCCUGCAAACGCACCACAUUUACUUUUUUGUGUAUCUUUGGCAGAUGUCUCAGCAGUCAGGGGAGCGGACCAGCGCAGAGUCCAGGAGUCAGCCGCCUGGUGGAAACGAUCUGCAUUCUCCUGUGCAAGAUCUUUCCCCAGAACCGGACUAUAUCUGGUGUUCGAAUCAGCCGCUGGAGUGACAUUGUGCGUAACUACAGGUUCAUCAGGGAGAACGUGCUAAGUCACCCGAUGCUCUCCACAAAACUCCAGCUGUUUGA
Molecule: long non-coding RNA, 1084 nt
Filed under: Gouania willdenowi (blunt-snouted clingfish)
Lineage: Eukaryota; Metazoa; Chordata; Actinopteri; Blenniiformes; Gobiesocidae
Description: lncRNA (ENSGWIG00000000959.1)
Source: RNAcentral